GACGUAGGGGGCUAGCGUUGCUCGGAAUCACUGGGCGUAAAGCGCACGUAGGCGGAUUGCUAAGUCAGGGGUGAAAUCCUGGAGCUCAACUCCAGAACUGCCUUUGAUACUGGUGAUCUUGAGUCCGGGAGAGGUGAGUGGAACUGCGAGUGUAGAGGUGAAAUUCGUAGAUAUUCGCAAGAACACCAGUGGCGAAGGCGGCUACCUGGACAAUUGCUGACGCUCAGGCACGAAAGCGUGGGGAGCAAAAGGG
Molecule: ribosomal RNA, 253 nt
Filed under: uncultured bacterium
Lineage: Bacteria
Description: partial 16S ribosomal RNA
Rfam family: Bacterial small subunit ribosomal RNA
Source: RNAcentral